This 253-nucleotide ribosomal RNA is filed under the name uncultured bacterium. RNAcentral describes it as "partial 16S ribosomal RNA". It matches the Rfam family "Bacterial small subunit ribosomal RNA", at positions 524 to 776 of the family's 1533-position model. The record is from RNAcentral.
UACGGGGGGGGCAAGCGUUGUUCGGAAUUACUGGGCGUAAAGGGCUCGUAGGCGGCCAACUAAGUCAGACGUGAAAUCCCUCGGCUUAACCGGGGAACUGCAUCUGAUACUGGAUGGCUUGAGAUUGGGAGAGGGAUGCGGAAUUCCAGGUGUAGCGGUGAAAUGCGUAGAUAUCAGGAGGAACACCGGUGGCGAAGGCGGGUCUCUGGGCAGUAACUGACGCUGAGGAGCGAAAGCGUGGGGAGCGAACAGG